RNAcentral lists this ribosomal RNA (476 nucleotides) under uncultured bacterium. RNAcentral describes it as "bacterial SSU rRNA". It matches the Rfam family "Bacterial small subunit ribosomal RNA", at positions 15 to 507 of the family's 1533-position model. The record is from RNAcentral.
GAUCAGUGGCUCGAGGACGACGCUGGCGGCGUGCUUAACACAUGCAAGUCGAACGGUAAGGCCCUUCGGGGUACACGAGUGGCGAACGGGUGAGUAACACGUGGGUGAUCUGCCCUGCACUUCGGGAUAAGCCUGGGAAACUGGGUCUAAUACCGGAUAGGACCAUGGACUUCACGGUUUGUGGUGGAAAGCUUUUGCGGUGUGGGAUGGGCCCGCGGCCUAUCAGCUUGUUGGUGGGGUAAUGGCCUACCAAGGCGACGACGGGUAGCCGGCCUGAGAGGGUGUCCGGCCACACUGGGACUGAGAUACGGCCCAGACUCCUACGGGAGGCAGCAGUGGGGAAUAUUGCACAAUGGGCGCAAGCCUGAUGCAGCGACGCCGCGUGAGGGAUGACGGCCUUCGGGUUGUAAACCUCUUUCAAUAGGGACGAAGCGCAAGUGACGGUACCUAUAGAAGAAGCACCGGCCAACUACGUG